RNAcentral lists this ribosomal RNA (254 nucleotides) under uncultured archaeon. Its description in RNAcentral is "partial 16S ribosomal RNA". It matches the Rfam family "Archaeal small subunit ribosomal RNA", at positions 474 to 727 of the family's 1478-position model. The record is from RNAcentral.
UACCGGCAGCCCGAGUGAUGGCCGAUCUUAUUGGGCCUAAAGCGUCCGUAGCUGGCCGCGCAAGUCCAUCGGGAAAUCUCCCCGCUCAACGGGGAGCCGCCCGGUGGAAACUGCGUGGCUUGGGACCGGAAGGCGCGACGGGUACGUCCGGGGUAGGAGGGAAAUCCCGUAAUCCUGGACGGACCGCCGAUGGCGAAAGCACGUCGCGAGGACGGAUCCGACAGUGAGGGACGAAAGCUGGGGUCUCGAACCGG